This 464-nucleotide ribosomal RNA is filed under the name uncultured bacterium. RNAcentral's name for it is "partial 16S ribosomal RNA". It matches the Rfam family "Bacterial small subunit ribosomal RNA", at positions 338 to 795 of the family's 1533-position model. The record is from RNAcentral.
CCUACGGGCGGCAGCAGUAGGGAAUAUUCCACAAUGAGCGAAAGCCUGAUGGAGCGACACAGCGUGCACGAUGAAGGUCUUCGGAUUGUAAAGUGCUGUUAUAAGGGAAGAACAUGUGCGAUAGGAAAUGAUUGCAGACUGACGGUACCUUGCCAGAAAGCGAUGGCUAACUAUGUGCCAGCAGCCGCGGUAAUACAUAGGUGGCAAGCGUUAUCCGGAUUUAUUGGGCGUAAAGCGUUCGUAGGCUGUUUUUUAAGUCUGGGGUGAAAUCCCGGGGCUAAACCCCGGAUCGCUUUGGAUACUGGCAGACUUGAGUUAGAUAGAGGUGAGCGGAAUUCCAUGUGAAGCGGUGAAAUGCGUAGAUAUAUGGAAGAACACCAAUGGCGAAGGCAGCUUACUGGGUCGAUACUGACGCUGAGGGACGAAAGCGUGGGGAGCAAACAGGAUUAGAUACCCCUGUAGUC